RNAcentral lists this ribosomal RNA (478 nucleotides) under uncultured bacterium. RNAcentral's name for it is "partial 16S ribosomal RNA". It matches the Rfam family "Bacterial small subunit ribosomal RNA", at positions 28 to 523 of the family's 1533-position model. The record is from RNAcentral.
GACGAACGCUGGCGGCGUGCUUAACACAUGCAAGUCGUACGGUAAGGCCCUUCGGGGUACACGAGUGGCGAACGGGUGAGUAACACGUGGGUGAUCUGCCCUGCACUUCGGGAUAAGCCUGGGAAACUGGGUCUAAUACCGGAUAGGACCCUGGGAUGCAUGUCCUGGGGUGGAAAGCUUUUGCGGUGUGGGAUGGGCCCGCGGCCUAUCAGCUUGUUGGUGGGGUGAUGGCCUACCAAGGCGACGACGGGUAGCCGGCCGGCGAGGGUGACCGGCCACACUGGGACUGAGAUACGGCCCAGACUCCUACGGGGGGCAGCAGUGGGGAAUAUUGCACAAUGGGCGCAAGCCUGAUGCAGCGACGCCGCGUGAGGGAUGACGGCCUUCGGGUUGUAAACCUCUUUCAGCACCGACGAAGUGCAAGUGACGGUAGGUGCAGAAGAAGGACCGGCCAACUACGUGCCAGCCGCCGCCGUAA